GCCCAAGAGAUCGGGAUAACACCUGGAAACAGAUGCUAAUACCGGAUAACAACAGAUGAUGCCUAUCAACUGUUUAAAAGAUGGUUCUGCUAUCACUCUUGGAUGGACCUGCGGUGCAUUAGCUAGUUGGUAGGGUAACGGCCUACCAAGGCGAUGAUGCAUAGCCGAGUUGAGAGACUGAUCGGCCACAUUGGGACUGAGGCACGGCCCAAACUCCUACGGGAGGCAGCAGUC
RNAcentral lists this ribosomal RNA (234 nucleotides) under uncultured Lactobacillus sp. RNAcentral describes it as "partial 16S ribosomal RNA". It matches the Rfam family "Bacterial small subunit ribosomal RNA", at positions 128 to 355 of the family's 1533-position model. Lineage: Bacteria; Bacillati; Bacillota; Bacilli; Lactobacillales; Lactobacillaceae. The record is from RNAcentral.